AUGGGGACGGCGGCCUCCACCCGCGAGCGCGAUGCAAUCCACACGGAGAUGGAGACGGCGGCAGUCUCCUCCAGCAAGCGCGCCCGCCUCGGCGGCUCCGACCGGCUGAGCGACCUGCCAGACUGCCUCCUGCACGACAUCCUCUCCCUCCUCGGGUGCCGGCAGGCCGUGCGCACGAGCGCGCUCUCGCGUCGGUGGAGGCACCUCUGGCGCUCCAUGACCUGCCUCAACAUCGACCAGCGCGAGUUCCAGCGCUCCGGCGUCCCACCGCCAUUAGACGUGUGCCAGUGGGACAGCUUCGAAGACAUGGCCGACAGCCUGCUAUCGACGUCGAUCACCACCCCAUCGGCGCCGCUGGACGCGUUCCGCCUGCACUUGGUCGACGGCAGCAAGAAGACGGGCGUCGACAGGUGGAUCCGCCGCGGGCUCGCGCGCCGGCCGGCUGCCGUCGACAUACACUACGGCUACGGCUACGUCGGCAGAGUCUGCUGGCCGGACACGUCGCGCUUGGCCUCCGGCGCUACCUGCCGCCUCACGAGGCUCCGUCUCUUCGGCGUCCAGCUGAGCCCUAGUUUCGGGCGGGAUCUCGGCGACCAGUGCCCCGUCCUCGAGGACCUGCACAUCGAGAACUGCAGAGAAGAUUUCUGCACCGUCGCAUCUCCCACGCUCAAGAGCUUCGCCCUCGUCAGCCCCUCCGAUUACAGCUACAGGUCCUCCGCUCUUGUCCUGGCGGUUCCUCACCUAGCCUCGUUGCGCCUCGUGCUCCCGUUCAGCGGCUACCGUGGCUACGCCGUCGCCACUUCUGAGAACGAGGUGCUGGCAUCGCUCGUCCAGGCGUCCAUCUGUAUAAAGGACAUGGAUGACGAGGUGCAGCGGAACAGACGGGUGAUGAAGCCGCACAAGCUUGAUUUCUUGAAGUCCAUGUGCAACUUCCUCGCCUGCAUCCCCAAUGUCAGAAAUCUACAUCUCUCGGGGUUCACCACGACGCGGCCGCCGGAUCCUUCCUCCCUACCCCCGCUCCCGUGCAGCGCCGCCGUGCUGCACCGGGGCGUCCCCGCCUCCCUCCUUCGGCCCCCCGCCACCACUCUCCUCUCCGCCGCCAUCGGUGACGCCGCCAGGGCAAAGCUCGAGCGGCUUGGCGGCGGCGGUCUUCUCCUCGCGCAUCAGCUACUCAAGAUCGAUGCAGCGGCUCCGAUCUUGAUCUUCUUGGCGGUGAUGGCGGACAACGGCGGCUGGAGUGUGGCAGCGGGUCUGUAG
RNAcentral lists this ribosomal RNA (1257 nucleotides) under Triticum aestivum (bread wheat). RNAcentral's name for it is "partial small subunit ribosomal RNA". Lineage: Eukaryota; Viridiplantae; Streptophyta; Magnoliopsida; Poales; Poaceae. The record is from RNAcentral.